RNAcentral lists this ribosomal RNA (460 nucleotides) under uncultured bacterium. RNAcentral describes it as "partial 16S ribosomal RNA". It matches the Rfam family "Bacterial small subunit ribosomal RNA", at positions 338 to 795 of the family's 1533-position model. The record is from RNAcentral.
CCUACGGGGGGCAGCAGUGAGGAAUAUUGGUCAAUGGCCGCGAGUCUGAACCAGCCAAGUCGCGUGCGGGAAGACGGCCCUACGGGUUGUAAACUUCUUUUGUCAGGGAGUAAAGUUCAGCUCGUGAGCUGCUGUUUGAGUACCUGAAGAAAAAGCAUCGGCUCAAUACGUGCCAGCAGACGCGGUAAUACGUAGGUGGCACGCGUUAUCCGGAUUUAUUGGGGUUAAAGGGAACGCAGUCGGUCUUUUAAGUCUGAUGUGAAAGCCUGCGGCUUAACCGUAGAAUUGCAUUGGAAACUGGCAGCCUUGAGUGCAGAAGAGGUAGGCGGAAUUCUAUGUGUAGCGGUGAAAUGCUUAGAUAUCAGGAAGAACACCGAUGGCGAAGGCAGCUUGCUGGGCUGCAACUGACGCUGAGGUUCGAAAGCGUGGGUAGCAAACAGGAUUAGAUACCCGUGUAGUC